GUCGAGCAGUAUGUUAUAAACAGGAAGUGACAUCAUAUUUGGGUGUCUGUUUUCUGUUUCUUCAGUAGUUCUGGUGAUGUGGAAUCCAAGGUUUACUGUACACACAAAAAUACAUUAUUCUUUGGAAGUGCUCUGACCAAUAUAUGAAACAAGAUUUGUAGAGGUAUUUUGGAUAAAACAUGGGGACUUAAACCUGGGUUGCUACACUGGGUAUACAUAUCAUGGUUGUGAAACCCAUUAUUAUUUAUGUUGCCAUUAUUUGAUGGCAGAGAAUUUAGUUUAAGACUUACAGGAUUGAACUAGAAAAUAUUGAAAGGGUGGCACAUCUGAACAUUACAGGAGCUAUGUGGACUGCUUCUAUUGUUACUCUUGCAGCCAUCUUGGGCAUUCCUUCUUUGCAUUUGUGUGUUGAGGCUAGUGCCUAAGAGGGUUAUUAUAUGCUCCAUUCUUAUUGGAGAAGAAUCUCUUGGACCUAUAAAGUAGAACACUCAGUUUUUGAAUGGGACAAGUCACACACUCAUAUUCAUGAGUUGGUUAAGGAUUAUAUAUGCCCAGGUUUAGCUUCUUUUAGGCCCUUCACUGUUGCUUUUCCUUGCUUGGAGGGCUGGGGAAAUGGAUUUUUUUCCACAGUAUCAAGGAUGGACUGAUCUGGUUUACAGAUGGUUCUAAAACAACUAACUAGUGUUGGGGCAGAGAUUUAUGUGAGGGAAUGAGAAUGUCUUAUUCCCUCAGAUGGUUUGCCACUGUCUUUCAGGCAGAAAUCUAUACUAUUU
Molecule: long non-coding RNA, 773 nt
Filed under: Androctonus crassicauda
Lineage: Eukaryota; Metazoa; Arthropoda; Arachnida; Scorpiones; Buthidae
Source: RNAcentral